GACGAACGCUGGCGGCGUGCCUAAUACAUGCAAGUUGAGCGCUGAAGGUUGGUACUUGUACCGACUGGAUGAGCAGCGAACGGGUGAGUAACGCGUGGGGAAUCUGCCUUUGAGCGGGGGACAACAUUUGGAAACGAAUGCUAAUACCGCAUAACAACUUUAAACACAAGUUUUAAGUUUGAAAGAUGCAAUUGCAUCACUCAAAGAUGAUCCCGCGUUGUAUUAGCUAGUUGGUGAGGUAAAGGCUCAUCAAGGCGAUGAUACAUAGCCGACCUGAGAGUGUGAUCGGCCACAUUGGGACUGAGACACGGCCCAAACUCCUACGGGAGGCAGCAGUAGGGAAUCUUCGGCAAUGGACGAAAGUCUGACCGAGCAACGCCGCGUGAGUGAAGAAGGUUUUCGGAUCGUAAAACUCUGUUGGUAGAGAAGAACGUUGGUGAGAGUGGAAAGCUCAUCAAGUGACGGUAACUACCCAGAAAGGGACGGCUAACUACGUGCCAGCAGCCGCGGUAA
Molecule: ribosomal RNA, 513 nt
Filed under: uncultured bacterium
Lineage: Bacteria
Description: partial 16S ribosomal RNA
Rfam family: Bacterial small subunit ribosomal RNA
Source: RNAcentral